GUGCUCACUUUGGCAGCACAUACACUAAAAUUGGAACAAUACAGAGAUUAGCAUGGCCCCUAUGCAAGAGCGAACACAGUUUUAAUGACAACUGUUUGUAUUAAUU
Molecule: small nuclear RNA, 106 nt
Organism: Mesocricetus auratus (golden hamster)
Lineage: Eukaryota; Metazoa; Chordata; Mammalia; Rodentia; Cricetidae
Source: Ensembl